AUUGCUUCUUGGCCUCUUAGCCAGGUAUAAUUAUCUGUUCUUAUCAGUUGAACAUUUGAUACAUCCUCCAUCCAAGGGCAACAUAUUAAAUGGAUUUUUGGAUCAGGGAGUUGGAAUAGGAACUUGCUUCAUUUACUCGAGUAAAAAAAAA
This is a non-coding RNA of Otolemur garnettii (small-eared galago), 151 nucleotides long. The record is from Rfam. NCBI's taxonomy places the organism in Eukaryota, Metazoa, Chordata, Mammalia, Primates, Galagidae.